UAAGUAAGGUGUGAAAGCGUACGGCUCAACCGUAUAACCAUACUUUAAACUGGCGAGCUAGAGGAUGAGAGAGGUUAUUGGAAUUUCUAGUGUAGGAGUGAAAUCCGUAGAUAUUAGAAGGAACACCGAUGGCGUAGGCAGAUAACUGGCUCAUUCCUGACGCUCAGACACGAAAGCGUGGGUAGCAAACAGGAUUAGAUACCCUGGUAGUCCACGCCCUAAACGAUGAGAACUA
RNAcentral lists this ribosomal RNA (235 nucleotides) under uncultured Candidatus Saccharibacteria bacterium. RNAcentral describes it as "partial 16S ribosomal RNA". It matches the Rfam family "Bacterial small subunit ribosomal RNA", at positions 584 to 818 of the family's 1533-position model. The record is from RNAcentral. Lineage: Bacteria; Candidatus Saccharimonadota.